Molecule: unclassified non-coding RNA, 21 nt
Filed under: Mus musculus (house mouse)
Lineage: Eukaryota; Metazoa; Chordata; Mammalia; Rodentia; Muridae
Description: oocyte_clustered_small_RNA14187
Source: RNAcentral
AGAGAGAUAGUCUCCGAGGUC